Molecule: transfer RNA, 89 nt
Filed under: Elusimicrobia bacterium CG1_02_37_114
Lineage: Bacteria; Pseudomonadati; Elusimicrobiota
Also listed under: 2 other names
Description: tRNA-Ser
Rfam family: tRNA
About the family: Transfer RNA (tRNA) molecules are approximately 80 nucleotides in length. Their secondary structure includes four short double-helical elements and three loops (D, anti-codon, and T loops).
Source: RNAcentral
GGAGGAGUGGCUGAGUGGUCUAAAGCGGCGGUCUCGAAAACCGUUGUCCUGAGCAAUCGGGACCGCAGGUUCGAAUCCUGCCUCCUCCG